Long non-coding RNA from Heterocephalus glaber (naked mole-rat), 3565 nucleotides. The record is from Ensembl. Lineage: Eukaryota; Metazoa; Chordata; Mammalia; Rodentia; Bathyergidae.
UGCUAGCUGCGAUGGGGCCUGAGGUCUCCUUUGGCACAGAUGUUCCCUCUGAAGUGGCUUGUGGCACUGUUUUCCCUGAGCCUCCUCUCCAAAUGGUGAUUCAGGGGCCAUCUUUGACCCAUGAGACCCAAGGCAACCAUGCUGGCCUGCGAGGACAAGCUCACAGAAACGGAAAGAGCCUGGAGGGUCACAGGGAGAGCAGAGUCAGCUCGUGGAGGACAAACUUGGAGGAUUCCUGAGUCACACAGAGCUGGAGUCCUGUUGAAAUUCCUUGAAGCUGACAAGAUCUGAUGCUGUGCAAGCUAUUAAAUCCACUUCAUCACAUAAUAAUCAGAAGUUAAUUAAAAAAAAAAGAUAAUUCUGCUGGGGAUUUAGCUCAGUGGUUCCACCGCCUGCCUUGCAAGCGAAAGGACCCGAGUUCGAUCCCCGGUACCAAAAAAAAAGAAGUAAAUUUUCUUACAACCAAAAGCAUUCUGAUUGAUAAACUUAUAAAAUGGAAAGGAAAUGAAGAGAGAAAAGAUAGAAGCUGGAUCUCCAAGUUCUGUUUCCUGCCAUUGCUAAUUUUUCUGUGAUGUGUUUUGAAUACCCAAGCAUUACAUCAGAGCACCUCCAACUUGAGCAAAAUGCCACAUGGCAUUCCUGAGUGAACAUUUUGAAAGAGUUGUGUGGCAUCCAGUGAGGCAUUUGGAAGUCACCUGGUAAGUAUGUAGGGACUGUUGGACAAGAAUCUCAUUUGCACAAUCAGAAGCCCUUGGCUCAGCACACAGACACCUCAUAUACCUGUGGUUGCAAAUGUAAGCCAUUGAAGUCCCCAGCCUGACUCACCCUCUCAGAAUAUGGAGAGUAGCAUAGGGGUGACAACCUCAGCAACCUCAUCUCGAAAAGGGUUUGAAGUAAUUUAAAGAAUACUUAGGGUAGGAUAAAAAAUGGAGAAGAGAAUUGGGCCAAAGAAACACAAGAGUGACUUAAUAAUCAGCUGAGCUGGAGUCAAAGAGGUAUAUGGAAGUGCAUGCCACCCAGCUGGGCAUUGUUGGCCCAGGGGCCUGGGCUUCACAUUGGGCUCUGAGCUUCCCACAGCCUCACUGAACAGGAAAACUAGCUGUGACUCAGGAGGAGUUCAAAUUUCUGAGCUGAAAGAAACUGCUCUCCUAGAUCCCUUUUGAGGGCCAAGACUCUCAAGAAUGUUCCCCUAAUAAGUGUAGUGUGCAUAUGAGGACAGGAGUGACUGGGGUCAUAGAGAAAGCAUGUAGGCAGCACUUGGUGUCCAGCUGUGGGACAUUGUGUUUUGCACACCAUUCUGUAAGGUCAUGUGAUCUUUUUUUUUUUAUUACCAAUGCUGGUCCUCCCUUGUGUGGGGGGCCUAAUGUGGACAAUUGCAUUGAUCUGGUUUUGGAGUUUUGCAUUUUGCAGAAUGUUUACUAGCUAGAGGCAAAGCAGAUGAAAGAGCAAGCGUAGGGGGUGGGAUGACAGAAGUAAUAAGCCUUAGAGGGGAUGAGGGCCCUAGGAGAACAGGUGAGAUAUGGGCCUGGAGGCAUCAGUCACCACAGUGGGCUGAAGUUUACUUGCUUAGCACAGUGCCCAAUAGGUGGAUUGAGUCAGUGUGUGGUAGUGAAGACUGCAGAAGCAGCCAACCACGAAAGUACAGGAACAGCUAUAGCUGAUCUAUGCUGUCAGAAGUCAGCACAGUGGUACUGGGAACGGGUACUGGGCACAUCUAGUGUGCUGCUCACAUUGCAUCUUGAGCUGAUACUGGCUGUACAGGUGUAUUCAGUUUGGGACGAUGUGUCUGUUAGUACACUUGUAUGUGCUUUUGUCUGAGUGUGUUCAGUGAAAUGUUUGAAAGAAAGUAUGUACUUCAGUGCCAGGCCACUUGUUUUCACACCCCAGUUCUGCCACUUUAUAGCAAUGGGACAUUGGGCAAAUUAUGUAACCUCGUUGUGCCUCAGAUUUCCAUUCAGUCAAACAAGAAUAAUAAUGCUUAGCUGGGUGCAGUGGUGCACUCUAUAAUCCCAGCUUCUCAAGUUUGAGGCCAGCCUGGACAACUUAGCAAGACCCUGUCUCAAAAUAAAAAAUAAUAUAUGAAUAUAAGUAUCAUGCAUUAACCAAUUGUAGCACUGGAGCUCCUAUAUAUAAAUAAAAAGGGCUGGGGAAGUAACUCAGUGGUAGAACAUUUGCCUGGCAUGUGCAAACCCCUGAGUUUAAUCCCCAGUACCUAAAUAAAUAAAGAAAAGGCUAGGAUGCAAUUCAGCAGCGCCACACCUGCCUAGCAAGCACAAGGUCCUGAGUUUGGUCUCUGGUACCAGGGAAAAAAAAGAACAAAAGAAAAUAACAUGUAUCAAAGAAGUACCUGAGGAUUGAAUGAGUCAGUACUUGCCAAGUACAUGAGUGUCUCUAGUAAAUAGUAAACAUUCCCUGAGAAUUACCUGUUACUUGUUACUUCUGUUAAUUAUUAUUAUUAUAAAUGAGAAUUGUAUGAGGGAAAACUGAAGAAUUGCUUGUGGACAUUCUACAAAAUGAUAUUCUGAGUGUGGCCAUGCAGUUGUGUCUGGAGUGGAAUGGGAUUGGAUUGCAUGUCUUAGAGUUCAAGCAGGGGAACUGGGAGGGAGUGGUGUUGCCAUAUUGGCCUUAGUGUUGUCCACGUGAUGGCAGGGGAGGACUUGGGGUGGUGAAGACUGAACUUGAGGGACUGAGAUUCUUGUUGUUCUUUGCUUUUUGAGACAGGGUCUCACUAUGUAGUUCAGGCUGGCCUUGAACUCAUUGUGUAGCCCAGGGUGGCAGGGAACUCAGGGUGAUCUUCCUACCUCAGCUUCCAGAGUGCUGGGAUUACAGGCAUGCACCCCACCCCAGGCACUGAGAUUCUUUUUUCAAAAUUUAUAUAUUAAUUGAUACAUUUUAGGUGUACAGUACAUUUACACUUAUCAUUGCGUGUUUGUACCUGAACAUGAUGUAUCUUAGUUCUUAUUUUUCCCCCAUUACCUAUGUGCCUUUCACCCCCACCACCCUUCCCUAUUUACAUAGACUUUGUUUCCAUUUUUUUUUCUUUCUCAUAAUUUUUCCUUUCCCUUCUUCCCUUUCCCCUUCUCCUCCUGCCACCCCUACACCUUUGGACCUUUUCCUACGUCAAAUUAUCAAUUAUUCAUUUUAAUAAUUUUCAUCCUUAUUUACACUUUCAGUUUCUCACACUAGAGAAACUAUUCGGUAUUUACACAUGUGUGUCCUAUUUAUUUUACUUAAGAGUAUGGCCUCAAUAUGCAUCCAUUUAGCUAUAAAUGACUCUAGUUUCUCGUUCUUUAUGGCUGAGUAGUACUCCAUUUUAUAAAAAACCCACAUCUUCUUUAUCAGUUUUCCAGUUGAUGGGCACUUGGGCUGUUUCCAAACCUUAGCUAUUACAAACUGUGCCGCUAUAAACAUAGGUGCACAUAUAUCGCUGUGGUAUGAUUCUUUUAAUUCUUUGGGGAAGAUACCCAGUAGGGGAAUAGCUGGGUCAAAUGGGACCUCUAGUCCUAGUUCUUUAAGGUAUUUCCAUACGGAUUUCCACAGUGGUUGCACCAGUCUGCACUCCCAC